CCUACGGGAGGCAGCAGUGAGGAAUAUUGGUCAAUGGGCGAGAGCCUGAACCAGCCAAGUCGCGUGAGGGAGUACUGCCCUAUGGGUUGUAAACCUCUUUUGUCGGGGAGCAAAAGCCGGACGUGUCCGGCUGUGAGAGUACCCGAAGAAAAAGCAUCGGCUAACUCCGUGCCAGCAGCCGCGGUAAUACGGAGGAUGCGAGCGUUAUCCGGAUUUAUUGGGUUUAAAGGGUGCGCAGGCGGAUUUUUAAGUCAGCGGUAAAAUCGUGGGGCUCAACCCCAUCCAGCCGUUGAAACUGGGGAUCUAGAGUGUGCUAGAGGUAUGCGGAAUGCGUGGUGUAGCGGUGAAAUGCAUAGAUAUCACGCAGAACCCCGAUUGCGAAGGCAGCAUACCGGUGCACAACUGACGCUCAGGCACGAAAGCGUGGGUAUCGAACAGGAUUAGAUACCCCAGUAGUC
RNAcentral lists this ribosomal RNA (458 nucleotides) under uncultured bacterium. RNAcentral's name for it is "partial 16S ribosomal RNA". It matches the Rfam family "Bacterial small subunit ribosomal RNA", at positions 338 to 795 of the family's 1533-position model. The record is from RNAcentral.